Molecule: ribosomal RNA, 363 nt
Filed under: Acidobacteriota bacterium
Lineage: Bacteria; Pseudomonadati; Acidobacteriota
Description: partial 23S ribosomal RNA
Rfam family: Bacterial large subunit ribosomal RNA
Source: RNAcentral
AAGGGUUCGGCUGUUCGCCGAUUAAAGCGGUACGUGAGCUGGGUUUAGAACGUCGUGAGACAGUUCGGUCCCUAUCUGCUGUGGGCGUAGGAGAUUUGAGGGGGGCUGGCCCUAGUACGAGAGGACCGGGCUGGGUGCACCUCUGAUGUACCGGUUGUCCCGCCAGGGGCACCGCCGGGUAGUCAAGUGCAUUAGAGAUAAACGCUGAAUGCAUCUAAGCGUGAAGCUCGCCCCAAGAUGAGAUCUCCCUCCCGUUUAACGGGACUGAAGGCUCCUCGGAGACGACGAGGUAGAUAGGCAGGAAGUGGAAGUGUGGCAACGCAUGAAGCUGACCUGUACUAAUCAGCCGUGCGGCUUGACCUA